GGGUAUUUUUGUGUUUUUGUGCUGCUGUAGAGCUGAAAGUGUAUUUGGGUCUGUGGCUAGAAGCAACCUUUUUCUUUGGAACCAUACUCUAUCAUGAGGAAUGUAGCAACAACUCUCACUGUUAUAACCCAAAGAGUGGCAGUAUCAGGCAUUGAUUUCUUUUUCUCCAUUGCUUUGAGUGUAACCCUCAGUAUUAGAAUUAUUCAAUCCAGAAACAUGCCACUGUUGAGUUUCAUGUCUUCUUUUGUGGUUCAAAUAAAUAUUUGCCUGUAUGUGGGUAUGUCUAGUUGCUUUGAUUAGCACUGCUCUGUUUUUUUUUUUUUUUCUUUUUGUUAAGCAGUAUGAGACAUUUCUCAGCUUGUCAUUGUUUUACUAUGUGUCCCUUUUUUUUUUCUUCAGAUAAUCAACUAUUGGAUCGGCUUUCUGUGCUGCAUUGAUGGGGCCACUAGAAGCUAAGCUAACAGUCAGGUACGAGAAUCUCCCUAUUGCAUUACUAGUAACUCAAGGACAAAGGCAAUAAUGAGGCUUCCUGCAUCAAAAAGAUCUUUAAAUGUUUUAAACCAAUAGAAGGUUUAAUCUCUGUACUUGUUUUUAAAUACCUGAAUUGUACAAGUCAAGAGUGCUGGAGCUAUAUGCAAGCGAUGAUCGUGGGAUCAAUGUAGUCCGCAAUAAGAUCAAGGAUUUUGCAGCUGUAGCUGUAGGUUCUGGUAACCCCCAUGGGGGUUACCCUUGUCCGCUGUUCAAGAUCAUUAUCCUAAAUGUGGCUGAUUCAAUGACUGAAGAUGCUCAGGUACUUGUAGACUGUACCCAUUCUCAGUCCUUGAAUCUGGACCAUUGAACUAUCUCCCAUUGAACUCUCUCCCAGGUUGAUAUUUAUAACCUUAUAAUCAUUGAACUAUCUCCCAAGUUGAUAUUUAUAACCUUGUAAUCAUUGAACUAUCUCCCAUUGAAUCUGGACCAUUGCUGUAUUUUCUCAUUAACCAUCUAUUUGUAGGCCAAUGAAUAAAAAGGUUAGGAACUUCCAUUUAA
Magnolia sinica is the source of this 1029-nucleotide long non-coding RNA. RefSeq lists it as uncharacterized. The transcript has 2 exons. The record is from RefSeq and is a predicted model, not a curated record. Lineage: Eukaryota; Viridiplantae; Streptophyta; Magnoliopsida; Magnoliales; Magnoliaceae.